CCCUUAGAUGUUCUGGGCCGCACGCGCGCUACACUGACGAAUGCAACGAGCUUAUAACCUUGGCCGAAAGGUCUGGGUAAUCUCCAAAUUUCGUCGUGAUGGGGAUAGAUUAUUGCAAUUAUUAAACUUCAACGAGGAAUGCCUAGUAAGCGCAAGUCAUCAGCUUGCGUUGAUUACGUCCCUGCCCUUUGUACACACCGCCCGUCGCUCCUACCGAUUGAAUGGUCCGGUGAAGCGUUCGGACCGUGGCCUUUGGACGGUUCGCCGUCUGUUGGCUGCGGGAAGUUCGUUAAACCUUAUCAUUUAGAGGAAGGAGAAGUCGUAACA
RNAcentral lists this ribosomal RNA (327 nucleotides) under uncultured eukaryote. RNAcentral describes it as "partial 18S ribosomal RNA". It matches the Rfam family "Eukaryotic small subunit ribosomal RNA", at positions 1470 to 1796 of the family's 1831-position model. The record is from RNAcentral.